Molecule: ribosomal RNA, 915 nt
Filed under: uncultured archaeon
Lineage: Archaea
Description: bacterial SSU rRNA
Rfam family: Archaeal small subunit ribosomal RNA
Source: RNAcentral
UUCCGGUUGAUCCUGCCGGAGGCUACCGCUAUUGGAGUUCGAUUAAGCCAUGCGAGUCGCGAGUCUUAGGGACUCGGCGUACCGCUCAGUAACACGUGGGUAACCUGCCCUAUGCUGGGGGAUAACCUCGGGAAACUGAGAAUAAUACCCCAUAGUUCACCACGCCUGGAACGGUGGGUGGAUCAAAGCUCCGGCGGCAUAGGAUGGGCCUGCGGCGUAUCAGGUUGUAGGGGGUGUAAUGUACCCUCUGGCCCUCUACGCGUACGGGUGUUGAGAGACAUCGCCCGGAGAUGGAUUCUGAGACUCGAAUCCAGACCCUACGGGGUGCAGCAGGCGCGAAAACUUGGCAAUGCGAGAAAUCGUGACCAGGGAACUCCAAGUGCAUCGGGUAAGACCGAUGCUUUUCUCGACUCUUCAAAGGUCUUGGAAUAAGGGGUGGGUAAGGACGGUGCCAGCCGCCGCGGUAAUACCGGCGCCCCAAGUGGUAGUCGCUUUUAUUGGGCCUAAAACGUCCGUAGCCGGUCUGGUACAUUCGUGGGUAAAUCAACCAGCUCAACUGGUUGAAUUCUGCGAGCACGGCCAGACUUGGGACCGGGAGAGGUGUGGGGUACUCUCAGGGUAGGGGUAAAAUCCUGUCAUCCUGAGAGGACCACCUGUUGCGAAGGCGCCACACUAGAACGGAUCCGACGGUCAGGGACGAAGCCUAGGGGCACGAACCGGAUUAGAUACCCGGGUAGUCCUAGGUGUAAACGCUGUGGACUUGAUGUUGGGGGCGCUCCGAGCGCACUCAGUGUCGAAGCGAAGGUGAUAAGUCCACUGCCUGGGGAGUACGGUCGCAAGGCUGAAACUUAAAGGAAUUGGCGGGGGAGCACCGCAACCUGAGGAUUGUGCGGUUUAAUUGGAAUCAACGCCGGA